GUACACGCUGUGACUAGCAUAUCAAUAAGCGGAGGAAAAGAAACUAACAAGGAUUCCCCUAGUAACGGCGAGUGAAGCGGGAAGAGCUCAAAUUUGAAAUCUUAAAGGGUUUCCCUUUACGAAUUGUAGUUUAAAGAAGUGUUUUCUGUUGAGGUUUUGGUAAAAGUUCUUUGGAAUAGGACAUCAUAGAGGGUGAGAAUCCCGUAUUUGACCUUUACUUUCAACUUUGUGAUACACUUUCAAAGAGUCGGAUUGUUUGGGAAUGCAGUCCAAAAUGGGUGGUAAAUUUCAUCUAAAGCUAAAUAUUGGCGAGAGACCGAUAGCGAACAAGUACCGUGAGGGAAAGAUGAAAAGAACUUUGAAGAGAGAGUUAAACAGUACGUGAAAUUGUCAAAAGGGAAGCGUUUGACACCAGUGUUGUUUUUCUGAAAAUCAAUUAAAGAACUGUUUAUGCUAAGCUGUUUAGACUUUAUCAGCUAUCUGUUUAGUUUUGAGCUUUUCUUUAAUGCACUUUUCAGUUAACAAGUCAACAUCAAUUUCUUUUGCUGUAAAAAAGCUUGAGGAAGGUGGCUUGAGAUUCGUCUUAAGUGUUUAUAGCCUCUUGCCUAUGCAGUCGGAGAGAUUGAGGUCUGCAGCGUAGAUCCUUCGGGGCUAAAUGCAUUUGUGCUAAGUUAUAGCAUUUUAUAGACAACUUGUUGACUAUGAUUUGUCUUGUAGCUUACUCGCUUAUGUUAUUUUACCUACGCUUAGGAUGUUGAAGAUGUAGCACAUCAU
This 774-nucleotide ribosomal RNA is filed under the name uncultured Neocallimastigales. RNAcentral describes it as "partial large subunit ribosomal RNA". It matches the Rfam family "Eukaryotic large subunit ribosomal RNA", at positions 22 to 635 of the family's 3401-position model. The record is from RNAcentral. Lineage: Eukaryota; Fungi; Neocallimastigomycota; Neocallimastigomycetes; Neocallimastigales.